UUACGGAUAGUUUAAAGGUAGAACAGCAGUUUAUAAAACUGUUAAUGAGGGUUCAAAUCCCUCUCCAACUUAAA
Molecule: transfer RNA, 74 nt
Filed under: Bacteriophage sp.
Description: tRNA-Tyr
Rfam family: tRNA (bases 5-66)
About the family: Transfer RNA (tRNA) molecules are approximately 80 nucleotides in length.
Source: RNAcentral